GGCGGCGUGCUUAANACAUGCAAGUCGAACGGGCUGAAGUGGUAGCUUGCUAUUAUGGAUGCUAGUGGCAAACGGGUGAGUAACGCGUAGGCAACCUGCCGUUGAGAUGGGGACAACAUCCCGAAAGGGGUGCUAAUACCGAAUGUUGUGGAAGUCUCGCAUGGGACAUCCACUAAAGAUGACCUCUAUUUAUAAGUUAUCGCUCAACGAUGGGCCUGCGUCUGAUUAGCUAGUUGGUGGGGCAACGGCCUACCAAGGCGACGAUCAGUAGCCGGUCUGAGAGGAUGAACGGCCACAUUGGAACUGAGACACGGUCCAGACUCCUACGGGAGGCAGCAGUGGGGAAUCUUCCGCAAUGGGCGAAAGCCUGACGGAGCAACGCCGCGUGAGUGAAGAAGGCCUUCGGGUCGUAAAGCUCUGUUGAAGGGGACGAAUGUCAAGACUAUCAACAACGGUUUUGAAUGACGGUACCUUUCGAGGAAGCCACGGCUAACUACGUG
RNAcentral lists this ribosomal RNA (500 nucleotides) under uncultured bacterium. RNAcentral describes it as "bacterial SSU rRNA". It matches the Rfam family "Bacterial small subunit ribosomal RNA", at positions 38 to 507 of the family's 1533-position model. The record is from RNAcentral.